Molecule: ribosomal RNA, 254 nt
Filed under: uncultured bacterium
Lineage: Bacteria
Description: partial 16S ribosomal RNA
Rfam family: Bacterial small subunit ribosomal RNA
Source: RNAcentral
UACGUAGGGAGCGAGCGUUGUCCGGAUUCAUUGGGCGUAAAGAGCUCGUAGGCGGCUUGGCAAGUCGGGUGUGAAAACUCCAGGCUCAACCUGGAGACGCCACCCGAUACUGCUGUGACUCGAGUCCGGUAGGGGAGUGGGGAAUUCCUGGUGUAGCGGUGAAAUGCGCAGAUAUCAGGAGGAACACCGGUGGCGAAGGCGCCACUCUGGGCCGGUACUGACGCUGAGGAGCGAAAGCGUGGGGAGCAAACAGG